This 440-nucleotide ribosomal RNA is filed under the name uncultured bacterium. RNAcentral's name for it is "partial 16S ribosomal RNA". It matches the Rfam family "Bacterial small subunit ribosomal RNA", at positions 338 to 795 of the family's 1533-position model. The record is from RNAcentral.
CCUACGGGGGGCUGCAGUGGGGGAUAUUGGACAAUGGGGGAAACCCUGAUCCAGCGAUGCCGCUUGAGGGCCGCCUGUUUUCUUCUUGUCCCCCUCUGUGGCGGGGGCCGCUAAUGACGGUACCCCUUUAGGAAGCCACGGCUAACUACGUGCCAGCAGCCGCGGUAAUACGUAGGUGGCGAGCGUUGUCCGGAAUUACUGGGUGUAAAGGGAGGGUAGGCGGGAAAGCAAGUCAGAAGUGAAAACUAUGGGCUUAACCCAUAGCCUGCUUUUGCCCCUGUUUUUCUUGAGUGAAGUAGAGGCAAGCGGAAUUCCUAGUGUAGCGGUGAAAUGCGUAGAUAUUAGGAGGAACACCAGUGGCGAAGGCGGCUUGCUGGGCUUUUACUGACGCUGAGGCUCGAAAGCGUGGGGAGCAAACAGGAUUAGAUACCCCAGUAGUC